UUCUUUAUUUCCUUCUUCCCCAAAACCGCCGAUCCACCUUCUCUUCCCCGACCCUUCUUCUCGAUCUCUUCUCCUCUCCACCGAAUCUCUCUCGCGUUGUCGCCGAUCUCCGCGAGCUCACCGCCGGCGGAGGUUUUCCUCUCUGGAGUCUCACCAACGUCAAGGUCCCUGGCUACCGGGCGGCUCGAUCCUCUCCUCCCUCCUCCUCUCAUGUCUCUGCCCUAGAUCACCGAUGCACCAGUUCUUGGCGAUCGGCGAUUCUUUCCCCGUCUCUUGGUGUUGCCGGUGAGGAGUGGAUCUUGGAGCUUCGAAGGGGUUAAAGCUAAGUCGGGUCUUUGGUCGUAGAUCCCUUUCUCCUUGUUGAUUGAGGGGCAGAGGAAUUCCGGGAACAUAGAAUCGAAUCGGGCGACACCUCCUGCAGACAAUCGGUUGAGUGAGGACCUGCUCUGUGGAUUUCAAAUUGAAUGCUGUGAGUUCUUGAUUCCAGCAAUUUCUUGGUCUCGGCAACAACAAUCCUCUUGUCCCAAUAGCCACAGUAGCUGUGGAAUUGAGGACUCUGAUUCGAGACGGGCGUCUCGGAUUCGGAUUUGGAUUGACUGUACCUUUUAUUGGA
Molecule: long non-coding RNA, 613 nt
Organism: Zingiber officinale
Lineage: Eukaryota; Viridiplantae; Streptophyta; Magnoliopsida; Zingiberales; Zingiberaceae
Exons: 4
Source: RefSeq, a predicted model, not a curated record